RNAcentral lists this ribosomal RNA (778 nucleotides) under uncultured Neocallimastigales. Its description in RNAcentral is "partial large subunit ribosomal RNA". It matches the Rfam family "Eukaryotic large subunit ribosomal RNA", at positions 23 to 634 of the family's 3401-position model. The record is from RNAcentral. Lineage: Eukaryota; Fungi; Neocallimastigomycota; Neocallimastigomycetes; Neocallimastigales.
AGAGAGAGACAUGCGCGCAUAUCAAUAAGCGGAGGAAAAGAAACUAACAAGGAUUCCCUUAGUAACGGCGAGUGAAGCGGGAAGAGCUCAAAUCUGAAAUCUUCAAGGUUCUACCUUGACGAAUUGUAGUUUAUAGAAGUGUUUUCUGUUAGUGGAGUGGCAAAAGUUCUCUGGAAUAGGACAUCAUAGAGGGUGAGAAUCCCGUAUUUGGUCAUUCCUUCUAGCGUUGUGAUACACUUUCAAAGAGUCGGAUUGUUUGGGAAUGCAGUCCAAAAUGGGUGGUAAAUUUCAUCUAAAGCUAAAUAUUGGCGAGAGACCGAUAGCGAACAAGUACCGUGAGGGAAAGAUGAAAAGAACUUUGAAAAGAGAGUUAAACAGUACGUGAAAUUGUCAAAAGGGAAGCGUUUGACACCAGUGUUGUUUCGUCCGAAAAUCAAUUACAAUAGUUUUGAUUUUAAGUAGUUAUGACUUCAUCAGCUUGCUGCUUUCUUUAUCAGAAACUUUCUUGAAUGCACUUUUCGGUUAACAAGUCAACAUCAAUUUCUUUUGUUGUAAAAGGGUAUGAGGAAGGUGGCUUUCUUUUCGGAGAAAGUGUUUGUAGCCUUGUGCCUCUGCAAUCGGAGAGAUUGAGGUCUGCAGCGUAGAUCCUUCGGGGUUAGAUACGUUUGUGCUAAGUUAUAGCUUUUCAUAGACAACUUGUUGACUAUGUUUAGUCUUGUAGCUUACUCGCUGACGCUAUUUUACCUACGCUUAGGAUGUUGAUAGUCACAGCGUGUAC